CCUACAUCGCUUCGUCAUCGACUUCUGAGCAGAAACACGAAUCGAACGUCAAUCAACACAACCGUGAAUGAAACACCGACCAUCUACAAACCGAUGCUGUUCGUGAAUGACCUUACUCAACGUUUGAGAAAGUCAUUUGAAGCCGUACUUCCCAACAUCACACUGGCACCGCGGUACGAGAACACCACCAGGAGGAUGUUCAACAACAUGAAAGACACCGUACCGAUGGAAAUGAGAAACAAUGUUAUAUAUCGCAUUCCUUGCCACGAUUGCGAUGCGAGCUAUGUCGGGUUAACAACAACCUUACUGAAGCAGAGACUCAGCAGCCACCGUACAACGAUGAAUCAGCUAGAGACACUGCGUAACAACGGCAACAACGAUGCGACGACGGAGUACGAGCUGGAACGGUUGAAGGAAAAGACCGCUUUACUUCAACACAGCAUAGAACACGAUCAUAGGUUCGACCUGGAAAAAACAACAAUAUUGGAUCAACAUAGAAGACAGUCAGCCCUACCAAUCCUAGAAGUAUGUAGCAUCAUAAACACUCCCCGUACAGUAAACAAGAGAUCUGACAUUGACAGUUUAAGUUCAAUGUAUGUAGGAAUCUUACACACACUCAAAAAUCAACAGUCCAACUCAAGAAACACCACCACACACCAAACACACGAAUAGCUAAAAGAUUAGAUCCACACCAGUUACCUCCACUUAUUUCCCACAAUUUGUCCAAACAAUAUCCACCAUCGUUACAUGAACAAAAUGACCGUUGGUUGGAUAGUGAAGGUGUUUCCGAAUUCAGAUAUUUUUAAAAAAACGUUUUUUUUGUUGUUCAGAGAGUAUGUCAAGUGGUAGAAAAUGUGUAAAAAUGUGUAAAAGUCAUUUUAUAAUUUUUGUAGGAUUUUUGCCAACACUUUUUUGGAAAUUUUAGACGGAUCAUGCUAAAACCGAGCCCACAAAACGAGAACGAUUGCAAGUUCUAAUUCCCUGAAGAAGGUGUAAUAAACACCGAAACGUCGGAUGAAGAACGAUA
Molecule: long non-coding RNA, 1027 nt
Organism: Aedes albopictus (Asian tiger mosquito)
Lineage: Eukaryota; Metazoa; Arthropoda; Insecta; Diptera; Culicidae
Exons: 2
Source: RefSeq, a predicted model, not a curated record